CUAGAACCCAAGUCUCUGGCCCCCAAUGCAGGACUGUUUAGAAACAGUUUCACCUUGCUCAUUUUCUGAACCGGCUUGCUCUCUGUUCUCAAUCACAGAAACACCAGAGGCUUUCGCACGAUCCCUUUUUCCUGAAACUGACUCUGCUGAGGAUGUGAUGUGGAUACGGGUGAGUUUAGCUCAAGUUGUUGCCCCAGAACAGCUGGCUUCUCUGACUGAAGCCUCCUGGGUUGGAGCAGCUGGAGGCUGAGCUGGAGGUGGAGGGGAAGAAGGAAAAAUGUCCAUCCAGAAGAGGAACUGUCGGAUAAAGCUCUCUCCGCUGUAGCCCUGGCGAGAGGUUGAUAAGCCGUCUUCGGGGAUGUGCAGGGAGUGUCUGGCCCUGCUUCCGUGCAGAACCAUGACUCAGGACUAUCGUUCACAUCCUCAGGAUGGCACAGGGGCUAAAAAUAAAUCGUGAAAUGCCACCCAAGAAGACCUGAUGAGGGGACCGUGGCGGUGGGAAGCCUCAGAGGGUCGAAAGCUAGGAGCCCAGAUGGACGGGUGCCUGUGCAGCUGGGAGAAGGAAGAGAGAAAGAAGCAAAGAAGACGAGGAGGCUGUGUGCUGGACCAGGGGCACAUGGAAAGAGAGGAAGAGAUGGAGUCAGACAGCAGCUGAUACAGGAGAGGCAGUGCAGGAAGCACAGUCCCGAGGAGGAGAUGGUGUCUGUGGCACUGUGCAGCUGACGUUUGAAACAGCAAAACAGGUUCUUAUCAAAUAUCUGGAACACAGAAGAGCUUAUUACAUGUUGUGUGGAUGGAUUAAGCUUGCUAAGCUAUUUGGAAACAGGAAGAAAAAGCGUGCCCGGAAUUCGGAGACCACCCAUGGAAAGGCACGACCUCCACUGGGUGUUCAGGACUUGAGGUGGUCAGUAUUUCUGCUCCUUCCCAGCAGACCAGCUUGCUCCCACUCAACCCCAUGGCUUGCCUUCUCUUCCUUGGAAAUCUUACAUGCAUCUUGUUGCCUGACCAUCCC
This 1012-nucleotide long non-coding RNA is filed under the name Piliocolobus tephrosceles (Ugandan red Colobus). RNAcentral's name for it is "lncRNA (ENSPTEG00000001685.1)". Lineage: Eukaryota; Metazoa; Chordata; Mammalia; Primates; Cercopithecidae. The record is from RNAcentral.